GGGUGCGGGCCUUCUCACCCCCGCGAACGUGACGGGGGUCAUCACCACCAUCACUGAGCUUCACGACGACGUCCCAUGCGCCGUACACUGCAGGAAUAACGCACAGUGCGCCAGCUUCUCUGUCAACGGCACGGGAUGUAUCCUCUACAGCGCGGGGGUGAAUUUCGCCACCUCCGUCCCCGUGGGCUUCUUCCCCGUAGUGUGAACCGUAGUCUGAACCGUGAACCCCUGAGGUAGCGUGGCAAGUCCCGCGUGAAUGGGCUUCGUUCAUUCAUCACCGACGUAAUGUUGUAAUUCACUAUUCAGUAAAUGUGAAUAAAAA
Long non-coding RNA from Hyalella azteca, 322 nucleotides. RefSeq lists it as uncharacterized. Lineage: Eukaryota; Metazoa; Arthropoda; Malacostraca; Amphipoda; Hyalellidae. The record is from RefSeq and is a predicted model, not a curated record. The transcript is spliced from 2 exons.